GAUGAACGCUGGCGGCGUGCCUAAUACAUGCAAGUCGAGCGAACAGACGAGGAGCUUGCUCCUCUGACGUUAGCGGCGGACGGGUGAGUAACACGUGGAUAACCUACCUAUAAGACUGGGAUAACUUCGGGAAACCGGAGCUAAUACCGGAUAAUAUAUUGAACCGCAUGGUUCAAUAGUGAAAGACGGUUUUGCUGUCACUUAUAGAUGGAUCCGCGCCGCAUUAGCUAGUUGGUAAGGUAACGGCUUACCAAGGCAACGAUGCGUAGCCGACCUGAGAGGGUGAUCGGCCACACUGGAACUGAGACACGGUCCAGACUCCUACGGGAGGCAGCAGUAGGGAAUCUUCCGCAAUGGGCGAAAGCCUGACGGAGCAACGCCGCGUGAGUGAUGAAGGUCUUCGGGUCGUAAAGCUCUGUUAUUAGGGAAGAACAAAUGUGUAAGUAACUAUGCACGUCUUGACGGUACCUAAACAGAAAGCCACGGCUAACUACGUG
RNAcentral lists this ribosomal RNA (497 nucleotides) under uncultured bacterium. RNAcentral describes it as "partial 16S ribosomal RNA". It matches the Rfam family "Bacterial small subunit ribosomal RNA", at positions 28 to 507 of the family's 1533-position model. The record is from RNAcentral.